RNAcentral lists this ribosomal RNA (328 nucleotides) under uncultured eukaryote. RNAcentral's name for it is "partial 18S ribosomal RNA". It matches the Rfam family "Eukaryotic small subunit ribosomal RNA", at positions 1470 to 1796 of the family's 1831-position model. The record is from RNAcentral.
CCCUUAGACGUUCUGGGCCGCACGCGCGCUACACUGACCAGUGCAACAAGCAUCCGUCCUUGGCCGACAGGCCCGGGCAAUCUUUGAACGCUGGUCGUGAUGGGGAUAGACUUUUGCAAUUUUUCAUCUUCAACGAGGAAUGCCUAGUAAACGCAAGUCAUCAGCUUGCAUUGAUUACGUCCCUGCCCUUUGUACACACCGCCCGUCGCUCCUACCGAUUGAAUGAUCCGAUGAAUAUCAUGGAUUGAGGAUGCAAGUAGGUUCGCCUAUCUUCAUCUUCGAGAAGUGAAGUAAAUCUUAUCAUUUAGAGGAAGGAGAAGUCGUAACA